This 235-nucleotide unclassified non-coding RNA is filed under the name Hevea brasiliensis (rubber tree). Lineage: Eukaryota; Viridiplantae; Streptophyta; Magnoliopsida; Malpighiales; Euphorbiaceae. The record is from RNAcentral.
UGCAACACUGUGAUCAAAGUAGUAAAGAACUGCUAUCAUGGUUGCUGGUAUGAAUGCUCCAACUAUAUACAAUGGAGGCACUCUCAACAUUUCCUUUAUAACCGUCCAAUUUGAGUAGGCACCCUGAGACCAUGGAUUGGGACUGAAAAGCCUUCUUGGGAUCCCAAGUGGGACAUUGUUGACUGGAAUGUAAGAUAAGGCUGUCCAUACGAGCACCAUAAGUGGAACUCCAUAA